Molecule: ribosomal RNA, 426 nt
Filed under: uncultured bacterium
Lineage: Bacteria
Description: bacterial SSU rRNA
Rfam family: Bacterial small subunit ribosomal RNA
Source: RNAcentral
AUUGAACGCUGGCGGCAUGCCUUACACAUGCAAGUCGAACGGCAGCGGACCUUCGGGUGCCGGCGAGUGGCGAACGGGUGAGUAAUGCAUCGGAACGUGCCAUUGAGUGGGGGGAUAACGUAGCGAAAGUUGCGCUAAUACCGCAUAUUCUGUGAGCAGGAAAGCAGGGGACCGCAAGGCCUUGCGCUCUUUGAGCGGCCGAUGUCAGAUUAGCUAGUUGGUGAGGUAACGGCUUACCAAGGCGACGAUCUGUAGCGGGUCUGAGAGGAUGAUCCGCCACACUGAAACUGAGACACGGUCCAGACUCCUACGGGAGGCAGCAGUGGGGAAUUUUGGACAAUGGGGGCAACCCUGAUCCAGCCAUGCCGCGUGAGUGAAGAAGGCCUUCGGUUGGUAAAGACUCUUUCGGUCCGGGAACGGAAAUAC